AGGAUAUACACUAGUUCAAUGAAUUGGAAGAAUGUGGUAGACAGAACAUGAUGUGGAAAAAAUGUCAUCCAUAUUAAUAGAAAACAGAAUGUAAUGGGAGAAUAACAUGCAGAGAAUUGAAAUGAAACGCCAAUCUGGCGUAAUAUUCUCCAGCAUUUGAAAAGAGCUCCCCAGAGGUCAGUGGAAGGUUCAUCUGCUGCACCAGUUGGAACUGCGGACAAGACCUUCAGCCCGUGAAAUGCUCUCCCGGUAUCCACUGCCUUUGCAUUUGCUGUGGGUCUGCUUCCAUCAACUGUGCUCAGGUCUGGUGUGGCCAGCUGGUGUUCAUCUCUUAGGUUCUCUGGAAGUAUAUGGUUGCUGGGUGCAUUUGAUCUCCCCCUGCCUGUGGGGACA
This is a long non-coding RNA of Mobula hypostoma (lesser devil ray), 393 nucleotides long. RefSeq lists it as uncharacterized. The transcript is spliced from 3 exons. The record is from RefSeq and is a predicted model, not a curated record. Lineage: Eukaryota; Metazoa; Chordata; Chondrichthyes; Myliobatiformes; Myliobatidae.